UGCUCCCUCCCUCCCUCGAACCCUAGCUACCCCUCGUCUCCCCGCCUCCAGCCACACUCGCCGUCGCAUCCCAAUCCCCGAUCUGGCUCUCCACCUCACGACGACGUGGUUCUCCCGGCGUUGACCCCCCCUCCUCAUGCCCUCUCCGACCUCUCUCUCCUCACGACACUCGCCCCUGCGCGCACGACCUCCCCCUCCUCCUCCCGCGCCGUUCGCCGCCCCACAAACUCCGGCAACCUUUAUCCGCCCUUCGCCGCGGGAGCCGCCUAGGAGCCGCCGCCCGCGGAAGCCGCAGCCCGAGCAGCCGCGGGAGCCGCUCGCCGCUGCAGCCGCCGCCCGCGGGAGCCACUCGCUGCUCGCCGCGGGAGCCGGAAGGUGAGAAGGACCGGCGGAUCCAGGCCCUGGUGUGGUCCUCUCCCUUCAACUCGCGUCGCCGACCUGGGCUCCCUCUUCUUCCACGGCCACAGCCUGGGGUUGCUGCCGGCUAGACGAAUAAUUACGUGCAGGCUGCCACGACAAAGGGUUUGACUCCUACACCAAUCUCAUCAAGGCUGCUGUUCUUGACACUCCUGAUGUUGUUUUUCAGAGCAAUGCCACGCUAAGAACGGUCUCAGAUCUGUGCGGCGGAGUGUCUGCACAGGCACACCAGGUGGAGAUCGACCACAAUCAUCUGAGCAACCCAUAGAGCAGCAGAUUGACCCCAGAGUACCAGGGUGGACGUUUAGGUCAGCUAUGCAUUUUUGUGUGGUUCAGAAUUAUAUGAUGACCCAUCUAAGUCUGUGGUUACACUUUGGUACAAAUGCACAGUCAGGAUUGGGGCUGAAGCAGGCAGAGCGCCAUGCCAAAAUAGGAUUUCAGCAAUGGAGAAAUCAAUCCGGGGGUUUGCCGAACAUCCUAGUGACAAUGUCAUUGUGCCAAAAUUAGGGACUAGCUUCCACACACUGGGUGAAGCUUACGAUUUUUACAAUCUGUAGUCAUGGGAGAAAGGUUUUGGCAUCUCAAAUUUCUUCCUUUGAAACAGACGCUCGAUGCAAUAAGUGAGUCGUUGAUCGACCUCCCAAUGAUGGAAGUAGCACUGUGUUUGGUGAGAGGUGGGAUGAACUGCCUGGAAGAAAAUUAUGUUACCCUUGCAAACUAUGGAUAAGGGGUGUCAUCCGGUACCCUCUCAGCCUUCAGUCUCCGAACUUAUAUUACAGUUUUUCACUUCGGCGUCCACACAAGAGCUAUCUAGGAACAUGUGCACGAGAAUCCUAUGUUUGUAAGGAUAGCAGGGGUGGUGCUGAAGGAACAGCUUGGGGGUGACACGAUGAUUGACCAUGAGCUGAUGUCUGUCAUUAUCCAUCGGUGUUGCCAGGCUGACCAGGAAGCCGAUGAAGAAUCACCCUACCUAACAUGGAGGCACCAACUUCAACCCGAUUUCUCGACAUUGGUGCUCACUACGGGGACAAGUUGAAGCUCCCCAUUACAAAGGUGAUUACCCGCUCGCCGCAGUCGCUGCAUGGGAUGAGCGGUUGUAUCUCCUUCCGUACGGUGACCGACAAUGAGGUAGAGAUGAAAGACUAAAGAUGGAAGACUAAUUGCCACAACGGAUAUGUUCGGAUUUGGAUUGGAUUAGUAGGGUGUGGAUAAGAUGAGCUGUGUUGGGAAGGUUGGUGGCUACAACGAGUCAACGACCGGGCACCAUAGAUAUACUCUGUCACGCCGUUAGCCCAAAAUCUUCUGCAAGACGGCUCAUAUCGUCUACCUCCGUGCGAGCCGCGCUCUUCAUGUCUAACGGGGUAACGAUUGAUGAUUGUCAGACGUGGACCAUAGGACACUAAUAAAUCAAAUACAGAGUUCAUACCUGGGCCUAUACUUCUUGGGUUGUGCAUCUCGAGACGAACUUGUGGCAAAGAUAACGAGCACACAGGUGCUCGAGCUCACAAAAGCACAUUCGGUAUGAAAGGAUAUUCUAAUGUUGAUGUUGCACAGCAAAAGUUCGGCUUCGAAGAGAGAUUUACUUGAGUUUCUAUUAGAAAAACCCAUAGUGAUACAGAAAGGUUUUUGGCACAGUUUGACAUGCAUGAAAAAUUACUACGGGUUUACUAUUGAACUGAAAGCUUGGACUGAUCCUUCUUUUUGGUAUGUACUGUUCUGUAUCACUAUAGGUUUAUUACUGUCCUCGUCUGUUUCGUAGCCUCCGGUUAGGUAAAAUAUCUAGCACAUGCGUGUGAUAGAUGUGUAGUCGACGGUGUAUCCCUUGGAUGGUUUCUACCACUAAAAGAUUCUGAUUCUUCCUCUUCGUAGUUGAUUUAGUUCAAUAAAAAACAGUCAGACACUUAACUGUAGAUUUGACCGGGCGAAUUUGGGUUCUGCCUCUCCAGGAUUAGAACUGUAGUUAUUUCCUGUCAUGUAAUAUUGUUUUCCAUCAUAUUUAUUUACUUAAAUCUUGAAUAGGGGAAUUAUAAGAAUUCAAAUUAAUAAGAGUUGUUCAUAUUUUGCUAGCAAGUACAUGCUAUUAUUAUUACGGUGGAGUGCCGAUUGCUGAAAUAUGUCUUCGACGUCUACUUUAAUUUUUUGGUUCAGUUUACUGGACAAAUUUUUCUUGUGUGAACUAAAACAUAGGAGCAUGCGCCAGAAGCUUGGUAUAGGCUAAACUAUUGUGAUAAACUUCGACCAAGGUCCUGCAUUCUAUGGAAGUUGCAGUGUUGAAGCUGCUUCGACUGAUCCCUAAUAGAUCUUGACUUCACUCAGAAGUGAGGCAUAUUGAGCUUAAUAUAUCUUGAUUGAUACCUACGGAUUAUGUUGGAUUAGGUUCCUAUGUGCCUAUGCUUUUUGUUUUGCUUUUGGCCAAUUGGUUUUUAUCCAUUGUAUGAAUAUUUUGUGUCUUUGUGGUGAAAAAAACCUAACAGCAACAUUUAAACUUCUACUUAUAUUCAAUAGCUUAUCAGUUUCUUAUGAUUUGAAUUCUCACCUGACUUUUGUG
Triticum aestivum (bread wheat) is the source of this 2965-nucleotide long non-coding RNA. RefSeq lists it as uncharacterized. Lineage: Eukaryota; Viridiplantae; Streptophyta; Magnoliopsida; Poales; Poaceae. The record is from RefSeq and is a predicted model, not a curated record. The transcript is spliced from 7 exons.